UGCCAGCAGCCGCGGUAAUACGAAGGGGGCUAGCGUUGUUCGGAAUUACUGGGCGUAAAGGGCGCGUAGGCGGCGUGACAAGUCACUUGUGAAAUCUCCGGGCUUAACCCGGAACGGCCAAGUGAUACUGUCGUGCUAGAGUACAGAAAGGGCAAUCGGAAUUCUCGGUGUAGCGGUGAAAUGCGUAGAUAUCGAGAGGAACACCUGAGGCGAAGGCGGGUUGCUAGGCUGAUACUGACGCUGAGGCGCGAAAGCUAGGGGAGCGAACGGGAUUAGAUA
RNAcentral lists this ribosomal RNA (279 nucleotides) under uncultured bacterium. Its description in RNAcentral is "partial 16S ribosomal RNA". It matches the Rfam family "Bacterial small subunit ribosomal RNA", at positions 506 to 784 of the family's 1533-position model. The record is from RNAcentral.